GAUGAACGCUGGCGGCGUGCCUAAUACAUGCAAGUCGAGCGAACAGACGAGGAGCUUGCUCCUCUGACGUUAGCGGCGGACGGGUGAGUAACACGUGGAUAACCUACCUAUAAGACUGGGAUAACUUCGGGAAACCGGAGCUAAUACCGGAUAAUAUAUUGAACCGCAUGGUUCAAUAGUGAAAGACGGUUUUGCUGUCACUUAUAGAUGGAUCCGCGCCGCAUUAGCUAGUUGGUAAGGUAACGGCUUACCAAGGCAACGAUGCGUAGCCGACCUGAGAGAGUGAUCGGCCACACUGGAACUGAGACACGGUCCAGACUCCUACGGGAGGCAGCAGUAGGGAAUCUUCCGCAAUGGGCGAAAGCCUGACGGAGCAACGCCGCGUGAGUGAUGAAGGUCUUCGGAUCGGAAAACUCUGUUAUUAGGGAAGAACAAAUGUGUAAGUAACUAUGCACGUCUUGACGGUACCUAAUCAGAAAGCCACGGCUAACUACGUG
Molecule: ribosomal RNA, 497 nt
Filed under: uncultured bacterium
Lineage: Bacteria
Description: partial 16S ribosomal RNA
Rfam family: Bacterial small subunit ribosomal RNA
Source: RNAcentral